RNAcentral lists this ribosomal RNA (253 nucleotides) under uncultured bacterium. RNAcentral's name for it is "partial 16S ribosomal RNA". It matches the Rfam family "Bacterial small subunit ribosomal RNA", at positions 524 to 776 of the family's 1533-position model. The record is from RNAcentral.
UACGGAGGGUGCGAGCGUUAAUCAGAAUUACUGGGCGUAAAGAGUGCGUAGGUGGUUUGAUAAGUUAGCUGUGAAAUCCCUGGGCUUAACCUAGGAAGGUCAGCUAAGACUGUCAGACUCGAGUCUAGGAGAGGGUAGUGGAAUUUCCGGUGUAGCGGUGAAAUGCGUAGAGAUCGGAAGGAACACCAGUGGCGAAGGCGGCUACCUGGCCAGAGACUGACACUGAGGCACGAAAGCGUGGGGAGCAAACAGG